Molecule: ribosomal RNA, 852 nt
Filed under: Enterococcus hirae
Lineage: Bacteria; Bacillati; Bacillota; Bacilli; Lactobacillales; Enterococcaceae
Description: bacterial SSU rRNA
Rfam family: Bacterial small subunit ribosomal RNA
Source: RNAcentral
UGCAAGUCGAACGCUUCUUUUUCCACCGGAGCUUGCUCCACCGGAAAAAGAGGAGUGGCGAACGGGUGAGUAACACGUGGGUAACCUGCCCAUCAGAAGGGGAUAACACUUGGAAACAGGUGCUAAUACCGUAUAACAAUCGAAACCGCAUGGUUUUGAUUUGAAAGGCGCUUUCGGGUGUCGCUGAUGGAUGGACCCGCGGUGCAUUAGCUAGUUGGUGAGGUAACGGCUCACCAAGGCGACGAUGCAUAGCCGACCUGAGAGGGUGAUCGGCCACAUUGGGACUGAGACACGGCCCAAACUCCUACGGGAGGCAGCAGUAGGGAAUCUUCGGCAAUGGACGAAAGUCUGACCGAGCAACGCCGCGUGAGUGAAGAAGGUUUUCGGAUCGUAAAACUCUGUUGUUAGAGAAGAACAAGGAUGAGAGUAACUGUUCAUCCCUUGACGGUAUCUAACCAGAAAGCCACGGCUAACUACGUGCCAGCAGCCGCGGUAAUACGUAGGUGGCAAGCGUUGUCCGGAUUUAUUGGGCGUAAAGCGAGCGCAGGCGGUUUCUUAAGUCUGAUGUGAAAGCCCCCGGCUCAACCGGGGAGGGUCAUUGGAAACUGGGAGACUUGAGUGCAGAAGAGGAGAGUGGAAUUCCAUGUGUAGCGGUGAAAUGCGUAGAUAUAUGGAGGAACACCAGUGGCGAAGGCGGCUCUCUGGUCUGUAACUGACGCUGAGGCUCGAAAGCGUGGGGAGCAAACAGGAUUAGAUACCCUGGUAGUCCACGCCGUAAACGAUGAGUGCUAAGUGUUGGAGGGUUUCCGCCCUUCAGUGCUGCAGCUAACGCAUUAAGCACUCCGCCUGGGG